This 1087-nucleotide long non-coding RNA is filed under the name Oryctolagus cuniculus (rabbit). Its description in RNAcentral is "lncRNA (ENSOCUG00000036709.1)". Lineage: Eukaryota; Metazoa; Chordata; Mammalia; Lagomorpha; Leporidae. The record is from RNAcentral.
AUGCCCAGACGGAGCCUGCUGGGAAGCCUGCAGCCUCCUCCCAACCUUCUGGGCACUCGGGCUCUGACAGCCACUGCUCCUCCGAGCCCUGACACUGCCACAUCGACACUGGCCCGGGUGCUUCUCCUUCACACCCAUCUGCUGAGCCCAAGCUUCCCCGGCUGGCUCUACCUCUCCCUGUUUGAAUGGGUUCCUGGCCAGAGAGGGCUCCCUGGAGUCUUCACUUCCAGCAGCUCGCCCCUUGCAGCCUUCCGGCAAAAGGAUGUUGGAUCAGCAAGGCGAUCCUUGGUUCACAAAAAGAAAUUCAGCCCAAUGCAGCCGCUACUGAACCACUCAGACAGCCUUCUGUGCACACUGUGCCUGCCGGCCUUGGCACUGUCCUUAUCUGAUGUCUCAGACUAUCUUUCCUCUUUUCUACACGCAGAUGUUCCCUUCUCACUUUUCUGGUUCUAAGGUUCAUGUGGCUGUAAACUGAGAGCCAGGCUGCCUGGCCCUGCGAUCUCAACUGACUCCCGACUGCUGACUAAUUAGGAAAUACAGGAGCCACCAUGAAGUACAUUCACAAACCAUCCUUGUCUAAGGAGCAAGAAAUAACACCUGUUCACAAGUCAGGGUAUACCCAAACAGUUUCCUUCUCUGAAUCAUAAACACAAAUAAUCACACUCACACACACACACACACACACACACGCACGCACACAAUUCUGAUCAGCAUCACUUGACUUCUCUUAUAACCUUCUGACUUGAUGUUUAUGAAUCUUAAAGAUAGCAUUACUCUUUGAUCCAGAAAUUCCCUCUCUAGAAUGGACAAGCAUGUCAAAAUAUAUGCGUUAGAGUUUUCACUAUGACCAUCAUCAUGAUAGUCUGAAACUAGAGAUAAUUUAGAUUCUCAACAACAAAGAAUGAGCUAAACAUCAUGAGAUAAGCAUGCAAUUUAAAACUAUCACAAUAUUAAAAAUGGUGAUGCAAAUAUAUGUGUAUAUAUAUAAAAUUUAUUAAUAGACAAACACGGGCAUCAAACACUGUGAAAAAGAAGACCAGAAACUAGUACAUACAAACUACAUGCAAUAAAUUGUGCAUCUCUAUCA